This 73-nucleotide transfer RNA is filed under the name Nitrospinaceae bacterium. RNAcentral describes it as "tRNA-Met". It matches the Rfam family "tRNA". From Rfam's summary of the family: Transfer RNA (tRNA) molecules are approximately 80 nucleotides in length. Their secondary structure includes four short double-helical elements and three loops (D, anti-codon, and T loops). Lineage: Bacteria; Pseudomonadati; Nitrospinota; Nitrospinia; Nitrospinales; Nitrospinaceae. The record is from RNAcentral.
ACUCCCGUAGCUCAGUUGGUAGAGCAAAUUCCUCAUAAGAAUUCGGUCGUAGGUUCAAGUCCUACCGGGAGUA